This 728-nucleotide ribosomal RNA is filed under the name uncultured Bacteroidota bacterium. RNAcentral describes it as "bacterial SSU rRNA". It matches the Rfam family "Bacterial small subunit ribosomal RNA", at positions 43 to 780 of the family's 1533-position model. Lineage: Bacteria; Pseudomonadati; Bacteroidota. The record is from RNAcentral.
CAGGCCUAACACAUGCAAGUCGAACGGGUGGUAGCAAUACCACUAGUGGCGCACGGGUGCGUAACGCGUAACCAACCUGCCCUUGACUGGGGGAUAGCCCGCCGAAAGGCAUUAAUACCGCAUAAACUAGCAACUCGGCAUCGAGUAACUAGUAAAGAUUUAUUGGUCAAGGAUGGGGUUGCGUGACAUUAGCUAGUUGGCGGGGUAACGGCCCACCAAGGCGACGAUGUCUAGGGGACCUGAGAGGGUGAUCCCCCACACUGGCACUGAGAUACGGGCCAGACUCCUACGGGAGGCAGCAGUAGGGAAUAUUGGGCAAUGGGCGAGAGCCUGACCCAGCCAUGCCGCGUGCCGGAUGAAGGCCUUCUGGGUUGUAAACGGCUUUUCUCAGGGAAGAAAAAGACCAUGCGUGGUACACUGACGGUACCUGAGGAAUAAGCACCGGCUAACUCCGUGCCAGCAGCCGCGGUAAUACGGAGGGUGCAAGCGUUGUCCGGAUUUAUUGGGUUUAAAGGGUGCGUAGGCGGCCCGUUAAGUCCGGGGUGAAAGCCCACAGCUCAACUGUGGAACUGCCCUGGAUACUGGCGGGCUUGAGUCCAGACGAGGUUGGCGGAAUGGAAGGUGUAGCGGUGAAAUGCAUAGAUACCUUCCAGAACCCCGAUUGCGUAGGCAGCUGACUAGGCUGGUACUGACGCUGAGGCACAAAGCUUGGGGAGCGAACAGGAUUA